CCGGUCAACUCUACGGGAGCAGCAGUGAGGAAUUUUGCGCAAUGGGGGAAACCCUGACGCAGCAACGCCGCGUGAGUGAAGAAGGCUUUCGGGUCGUAAAGCUCUGUCAAGUGGGAAAAAAGUCUGAUGAUUAAUAGUUGUCAGAUCUGAUGGCACCACUGGAGGAAGCACCGGCUAACUCCGUGCCAGCAGCCGCGGUAAUACGGAGGGUGCAAGUGUUGUUCGGAAUUACUGGGCGUAAAGGGCGUGCAGGCGGGUUGGUAAGUCAGAUGUGAAAGCCCUGGGCUUAACCCAGGAAGUGCAUUUGAAACUGCCAUCCUUGAGUAUGGGAGAGGAGAGUGGAAUUCCCAAUGUAGAGGUGAAAUUCGUAGAUAUUGGGAGGAACACCCGUGGCGAAGGCGACUCUCUGGACCAAUACUGACGCUGAGACGCGAAAGCGUGGGGAGCAAACAGGAUUAGAUACCCUGGUAGUCCACGCUGUAAACGAUGAGAACUAGGUGUAGCGGGUAUUGACCCCUGCUGUGCCGAAGUUAACGCAUUAAGUUCUCCGCCUGGGGAGUACGGCCGCAAGGCUAAAACUCAAAAGAAUUGACGGGGGCCCGCACAAGCGGUGGAGCAUGUGGUUUAAUUCGACGCAACGCGAAGAACCUUACCUGGGUUUGACAUCCUUUGACAGUCCCGGAAACGGGAUCUUUCCGACUUUGUCGGAACGGAGUGACA
This 720-nucleotide ribosomal RNA is filed under the name uncultured delta proteobacterium. RNAcentral describes it as "bacterial SSU rRNA". It matches the Rfam family "Bacterial small subunit ribosomal RNA", at positions 327 to 1036 of the family's 1533-position model. The record is from RNAcentral. Lineage: Bacteria; Deltaproteobacteria.